GGUGCUGUGGCUUGAGUUGGUUAAAGCGCCUGUCUAGUAAACAGGAGAUCCUGGGUUCAAAUCCCAGCAGUGCCU
This is a non-coding RNA of Larimichthys crocea (large yellow croaker), 75 nucleotides long. Lineage: Eukaryota; Metazoa; Chordata; Actinopteri; Sciaenidae. The record is from Rfam.